Molecule: ribosomal RNA, 253 nt
Filed under: uncultured bacterium
Lineage: Bacteria
Description: partial 16S ribosomal RNA
Rfam family: Bacterial small subunit ribosomal RNA
Source: RNAcentral
UACGAAGGGGGCUAGCGUUGUUCGGAAUUACUGGGCGUAAAGCGCACGUAGGCGGAUCGAUCAGUCAGGGGUGAAAUCCCAGGGCUCAACCCUGGAACUGCCUUUGAUACUGUCGAUCUGGAGUAUGGAAGAGGUGAGUGGAAUUCCGAGUGUAGAGGUGAAAUUCGUAGAUAUUCGGAGGAACACCAGUGGCGAAGGCGGCUCACUGGUCCAUUACUGACGCUGAGGUGCGAAGGCGUGGGGAGCAAACAGG